Mycena metata is the source of this 91-nucleotide non-coding RNA. Lineage: Eukaryota; Fungi; Basidiomycota; Agaricomycetes; Agaricales; Mycenaceae. The record is from the annotation of a GenBank genome assembly.
GGCUCGGUGGUGGAUGGUCCACACCUGUCUUCUGAGAGAACGUGAAAAUCGAUUUAAGCCGGAGAAGCCUGUUCGAAUCAGGCCCGAGCCA